GUAGGUGGCAAGCGUUGUCCGGAAUUAUUGGGGCGUAAAGCGCGCGCAGGCGGUUCUUUAAGUCUGAUGUGAAAGCCCACGGGCUCAACCGUGGAGGGUCAUUGGAAACUGGAGAACUUGAGUACAGAAGAGGAAAGCGGAAUUCCACGUGUAGCGGUGAAAUGCGUAGAGAUGUGGAGGAACACCAGUGGCGAAGGCGGCUUUCUGGUCUGUAACUGACGCUGAGGCGCGAAAGCGUGGGGAGCAGACAGGAUUAGAUACCCUGGUAGUCCACGCCGUAAACGAUGAGUGCUAAGUGUUAGGGGGUUUCCGCCCCUUAGUGCUGCAGCUAACGCAUUAAGCACUCCGCCUGGGGAGUACGGCCGCAAGGCUG
This 373-nucleotide ribosomal RNA is filed under the name uncultured organism. Its description in RNAcentral is "partial 16S ribosomal RNA". It matches the Rfam family "Bacterial small subunit ribosomal RNA", at positions 527 to 896 of the family's 1533-position model. The record is from RNAcentral.